GAUGAACGCUGGCGGCGCGCUUAACACAUGCAAGUCGAACGGAAAGGCCUGCUUUCCCUUGUGGAUUGCGGGUACUCGAGUGGCGAACGGGUGAGUAACACGUGAGUGAUCUGCCCCCAACUUGGGUAUAAGCCUGGGAAACUGGGUCUAAUUCUCGAUAGGACUGCAGGGUGGAGCCGGUGGUGGAAAACGAUUUGCUAGUGGUAGGGGAUGAGCUCGCGGCGUAUCAGCUUGUUGGUGGGGGAAUGGCAUACCAAGGCGACGACGGGUAGCCGGCCUGAGCCGGUGAGCGUCGACGGUGGCACUGGGACUCGGUCCCGACCCCUACGGCUGCCAGAGGUAGGGGUUUGUGCUCUUGGGGCGUAGGCGGAAGCCUGCUGCAGCGCCUGCGUGAGGAAGAUCUUCGCCUUCUAGUUGUCUGCUCUUUGCGACCGAGAGGAGGCUACCUGGUUGGAAGGGUGGUGACGGUACCGGAAGAAGAAGCACCGGCUAACUACGUG
This 500-nucleotide ribosomal RNA is filed under the name uncultured bacterium. Its description in RNAcentral is "partial 16S ribosomal RNA". It matches the Rfam family "Bacterial small subunit ribosomal RNA", at positions 28 to 507 of the family's 1533-position model. The record is from RNAcentral.